GACGAACGCUGGCGGCGUGCUUAACACAUGCAAGUCGAACGGUAAGGCCCUUUCGGGGGUCCACGAGUGGCGAACGGGUGAGUAACACGUGGGUGAUCUGCCCUGCACUUUGGGAUAAGCCUGUGAAACUGGGUCUAAUACCGGAUAGGACUACGCGAUGCAUGUCGUGUGGUGGAAAGCUUUUGCGGUGUGGGAUGGGCCCGCGACCUAUCAGCUUGUUGGUGGGGUGAUGGCCUACCAAGGCGACGACGGGUAGCCGGCCUGAGAGGGUGUCCGGCCACACUGGGACUGAGAUACGGCCCAGACUCCUACGGGAGGCAGCAGUGGGGAAUAUUGCACAAUGGGCGCAAGCCUGAUGCAGCGACGCCGCGUGGGGGAUGACGGCCUUCGGGUUGUAAACCCCUUUCAGCACAGACGAAGCGUAAGUGACGGUAUGUGCAGAAGAAGCACCGGCCAACUACGUG
Molecule: ribosomal RNA, 464 nt
Filed under: uncultured bacterium
Lineage: Bacteria
Description: partial 16S ribosomal RNA
Rfam family: Bacterial small subunit ribosomal RNA
Source: RNAcentral